Molecule: small nucleolar RNA, 107 nt
Filed under: Gossypium arboreum
Lineage: Eukaryota; Viridiplantae; Streptophyta; Magnoliopsida; Malvales; Malvaceae
Also listed under: 1 other name
Description: Plant small nucleolar RNA R71
Rfam family: Plant small nucleolar RNA R71
About the family: R71 is a member of the C/D box family of snoRNAs containing the C (UGAUGA) and D (CUGA) box motifs.
Source: Rfam by way of RNAcentral
AUCCCAUAAUGAGGACCCUUAUGAAGUAACUCCUUGAAUCACUCCCAAGCCUCAUACAAAGACUCGUCAUCCAAUUGUUGGGAAGUUGUGAUCUCGCCCCUCAACUU